This 468-nucleotide ribosomal RNA is filed under the name uncultured bacterium. Its description in RNAcentral is "partial 16S ribosomal RNA". It matches the Rfam family "Bacterial small subunit ribosomal RNA", at positions 28 to 507 of the family's 1533-position model. The record is from RNAcentral.
GACGAACGCUGGCGGCGUGCUUAACACAUGCAAGUCGAACGGAAAGGCCCUGCUUUUGUUGGCUGCUCGAGUGGCGAACGGGUGAGUAACACGUGAGUAAUCUGCCUAUGACUUAGGGAUAACUUCUGGAACCUGGUGCUAACACUGGAUAGGAGCUCCUGUUGCAUGGUGGUGGUUGGAAAUUUUCGGCGGUUGGGGAUGGACUCGCGGCUUAUCAGCUCGUCGGUGGGGUACUGGCUUACCAGGGCGUUGACCGGUAGCCGGCCUGAGAGGGUGACCGGCCACAUUGGGAUUGAGAUGCGGCCCAGACUCCAACGGUAGGCAGCAGUGGGGAAUAUUGCACAAUGGGCGGAAGCCUGGUGCAGCAAAGCCGCGUGCGGGAUGACAGCCUGCGGGUUGUGAACCGAUGCCGCCUGUGACGAAGCGUGAGUGACAGUAAUGGGUAAAGAAGCACCGGCUAACUACGUG